GGAGAGCGUUCUAUUUGCGUCGAAGGUAUACCGGUAAGGAGUGCUGGAGCGAAUAGAAGUGAGCAUGCAGGCAUGAGUAGCGAUAAUUAAUGUGAGAAUCAUUAACGCCGUAAACCCAAGGUUUCCUACGCGAUGCUCGUCAUCGUAGGGUUAGUCGGGUCCUAAGUCGAGUCCGAAAGGGGUAGACGAUGGCAAAUUGGUUAAUAUUCCAAUACCAACAUUAGUGUGCGAUGGAAGGACGCUUAGGGCUAAGCAAGCUAGCGGAUGGAAGUGCUAGUCUAAGGAUGUAGGAGCUUAUACAGGCAAAUCCGUAUAAGAAUACUCCGAGAUCUUAAAGGCUCUUUGAAGUCUUCGGAUGGAUAGGAGAAUUGCUGAUGCCGUCGAGCCAAGAAAAGUUUCUAAGUUUAGCUAAUGUUGCCCGUACCGUAAACCGACACAGGUGGGUGGGAUGAGUAUUCUAAGGCGCGUGGAAGAACUCUCUUUAAGGAACUCUGCAAAAUAGCACCGUAUCUUCGGUAUAAGGUGUGGUUCGCUUCGUAUUAGGAUUUACUCCGAAAGCGAAGAAACUUACAACAAAGAGUCCCUCCCGACUGUUUACCAAAAACACAGCACUCUGCUAACUCGUAAGAGGAUGUAUAGGGUGUGACGCCUGCCCGGUGCUCGAAGGUUAAUUGAUGGGGUUAGCAUUAGCGAAGCUCUUGAUCGAAGCCCGAGUAAACGGCGGCCGUAACUAUAACGGUCCUAAGGUAGCGAAAUUCCUUGUCGGUUAAAUACCGACCUGCAUGAAUGGCGUAACGAGAUGGGAGCUGUCUCAAAGAGGGAUCCAGUGAAAUUGUAGUGGAGGUGAAAAUUCCUCCUACCCGCGGCAAGACGGAAAGACCCCGUGGACCUUUACUACAGCUUGACACUGCUAUUUGGAUAAGAAUGUGCAGGAUAGGUGGGAGGCUUUGAGUAUAUGACGCCAGUUGUAUAUGAGCCAUUGUUGAGAUACCACUCUUUCUUAUUUGGGUAGCUAACCAGCUUGAGUUAUCCUCAAGUGGGACAAUGUCUGGUGGGUAGUUUGACUGGGGCGGUCGCCUCCCAAAUAAUAACGGAGGCUUACAAAGGUUGGCUCAGAACGGUUGGAAAUCGUUCGUAGAGUAUAAAGGUAUAAGCCAGCUUAACUGCAAGACAUACAAGUCAAGCAGAGACGAAAGUCGGUCUUAGUGAUCCGGUGGUUCUGUGUGGAAGGGCCAUCGCUCAAAGGAUAAAAGGUACCCCGGGGAUAACAGGCUGAUCUCCCCCAAGAGCUCACAUCGACGGGGAGGUUUGGCACCUCGAUGUCGGCUCAUCGCAUCCUGGGGCUGGAGCAGGUCCCAAGGGUAUGGCUGUUCGCCAUUUAAAGCGGUACGCGAGCUGGGUUCAGAACGUCGUGAGACAGUUCGGUCCCUAUCUGCCGUGGGCGUAAGAAGAUUGAAGAGAUUUGACCCUAGUACGAGAGGACCGGGUUGAACAAACCACUGGUGUAGCUGUUGUUCUGCCAAGAGCAUCGCAGCGUAGCUAAGUUUGGAACGGAUAAACGCUGAAAGCAUCUAAGCGUGAAGCCAACUCUAAGAUGAAUCUUCUCUAAGCUCUCUAGAAGACUACUAGUUUGAUAGGCUGGGUGUGUAAUGGAUGAAAGUCCUUUAGCUGACCAGUACUAAUAGAGCGUUUGGCUUAUCUUUUUU
This 1706-nucleotide ribosomal RNA is filed under the name Campylobacter lari. Its description in RNAcentral is "partial 23S ribosomal RNA". It matches the Rfam family "Bacterial large subunit ribosomal RNA", at positions 1231 to 2925 of the family's 2925-position model. Lineage: Bacteria; Pseudomonadati; Campylobacterota; Epsilonproteobacteria; Campylobacterales; Campylobacteraceae. The record is from RNAcentral.